Molecule: long non-coding RNA, 1631 nt
Organism: Amyelois transitella
Lineage: Eukaryota; Metazoa; Arthropoda; Insecta; Lepidoptera; Pyralidae
Exons: 2
Source: RefSeq, a predicted model, not a curated record
AGGCCGUAAAUUUUGCCACUAUUUGAAAAAAAAAUAUGUCCCACAUUUUGACUGCAUAUAUAAAAGACUAAUGCUAGUAAUUUGUUACUAAGGUACUCAUAAUAUAUUUUGUAGCUCUUAUCUCUACAUAAUUUAAUUUCAAAAGUUCAAACACUUCAAUACUUUAACUUCUAGAGUGUGUUCAACUUGGCCAGUCCUCCAAAUUUUGCAAAAAUCGCGUUGUCUUUUUUAUCAUCCAAAUACUAGAGAACUACAAAACUCGUAGUAUAUUUAUUGAAUGUCAAGUUUACAAGAACUUAACCUACAGAACGCAAAACUAAGCAGCCAAUUAAUAAUAUGAGAUUAUUUAAAAUAAGUAGAUUUAAUUUUUUUAUCGCAAUUUAAAUGUUUGUCCCCGUAUUUUUGCUUAUAUGUUACAAUUUUGUAUGUUACCACAAUUUCACCUUUAAUUAAGGUAAAAUAUUUUGGUAAUAUUUUGUAUCGAUACUGGCAACACUUAAGUGUCCAUGGACAAAAAGAAAAAAAAAACCAUUUUGUUUACUGUGGUGGGUUUGACAAAAAGUGAGUGCAGGUUUGUGUCGUCAUUCGGGAUUUAUUCGAUUUCAAAGAAGGAAGCGAGCAGAACGAUGAAGAACUUGGCAGCACGGUUAGAGAGAAUAAUUAAAAUGAAGGGAAUUAUUUAAGUUUCAACAUAAAAGAUUCGUUAUGGUUAGAUAAUUUGAAAGAAAAACGUGGAAGUAUUAUAUUGGAUUUGUUGAGAUCAUAGAAUUUAAAAGUGACGAAACAUAUUACAAAAUAAUUUUUUUUUAAAUGUUAAGAUUUCAAAUAAUUCUGUAAAAUUCUUAGUGCAAAGAAAGUUAGAUCUUGAUUCUGUGACCACAAUUUCUAUAGUAUAAAAGAUAAAUUUGAUUCAGUUAGAGACAGAUUCAAAAGAAUAUUAUCUGCAAAAUGAUGAAGAUACUGUAUUUUUUAUUUAAAUAUUUUAAAUCAUUUGUUAGUUGACAUAAGUAAAAGUGGUUACCUAGUUCCUUUUUUGUGAUUUUAUUGAUUAAUUAGUACACAUUGUGUUUUAAGUACCUAUUUAAUGAAUAGACAUUUUAGAAGAUUUCAUUGUUUUUUAUUUGCUUCUUCUUUUUCUUAGUCGUAUUCCUCAUGGCUGAGAAGUCGUGAUCAUUAUAUGGAUUUCAAUGAAACACACACAACGACUUUCUUGGCAAUAUUAAUAGAGUGGUUUGCCAUUGCCUUCUCCAUUUCACACACUAACUGAUAAAUAAUCGACUAAUGUGACUUCCUCACGAUGUUUUCCUUCACCGGAAGCAAGUGGUGGUCAUGAAAAGUACUAAACGUAAGUCAGAUUAGCAUACAAACUCAUGUGGCUCGAGUAGGAUUCGAACCCGGGACAUUUCGAUCACCAGGCGGACGUCUUAACCACUAGACCACCACCGCUUCAUUUCAUUUAUAUGCUUAGUUCUUACAUAAGGUUAAUAGAUACCCUGGCCCGUACGCCCGUACAUACAUUUUGUUUUGGAACAUUGCAUUAACUUCGUUUGUGUUUCUCAGAAUACAUUUGCUUCUCCAAUUCCUAUGGAAUUGUGCUUGCCAUUACAAUCGUACGUUAGUAUAAUUUUCAG